UACGAAGGGGGCUAGCGUUGUUCGGAAUUACUGGGCGUAAAGCGUGCGCAGGCGGCUUCUCAAGUCAGGGGUGAAAGCCCAGAGCUCAACUCUGGAAUUGCCUUUGAGACUGAGUGGCUUGAGUAUGGGAGAGGUGAGUGGAAUUCCCAGUGUAGAGGUGAAAUUCGUAGAUAUUGGGAAGAACACCGGUGGCGAAGGCGGCUCACUGGCCCGUAACUGACGCUCAGGCACGACAGCGUGGGGAUCAAACAGG
Molecule: ribosomal RNA, 253 nt
Filed under: uncultured bacterium
Lineage: Bacteria
Description: partial 16S ribosomal RNA
Rfam family: Bacterial small subunit ribosomal RNA
Source: RNAcentral